This 465-nucleotide ribosomal RNA is filed under the name Vreelandella stevensii. Its description in RNAcentral is "partial 16S ribosomal RNA". It matches the Rfam family "Bacterial small subunit ribosomal RNA", at positions 338 to 795 of the family's 1533-position model. The record is from RNAcentral. Lineage: Bacteria; Pseudomonadati; Pseudomonadota; Gammaproteobacteria; Oceanospirillales; Halomonadaceae.
CCUACGGGUGGCAGCAGUGGGGAAUAUUGGACAAUGGGCGAAAGCCUGAUCCAGCCAUGCCGCGUGUGUGAAGAAGGCCUUCGGGUUGUAAAGCACUUUCAGUGGGGAAGAAAGCCUUGGGGCUAAUACCCUCGAGGAAGGACAUCACCCACAGAAGAAGCACCGGCUAACUCCGUGCCAGCAGCCGCGGUAAUACGGAGGGUGCGAGCGUUAAUCGGAAUUACUGGGCGUAAAGCGCGCGUAGGCGGUCUGAUAAGCCGGUUGUGAAAGCCCCGGGCUCAACCUGGGAACGGCAUCCGGAACUGUCAGGAUAGAGUGCAGGAGAGGAAGGUAGAAUUCCCUGUGUAGCGGUGAAAUGCGUAGAGAUCGGGAGGAAUACCAGUGGCGAAGGCGGCCUUCUGGACUGACACUGACGCUGAGGUGCGAAAGCGUGGGUAGCAAACAGGAUUAGAUACCCCAGUAGUC